CUCCGUUAUUUAAACCGGAUCAUCCAAAGCGACCGUGCCCGGUCUCGCUAACGAGGCAGGGGCUGUUCGGGGGGCCGCUCCCACGGCCCCCGAGGUGCUUCGUGAACCCGAACGCUCUCGGCGAACUGGGAAACGUGUUCCCAGCUGCAUUUGAGCUCCCAGAUCCCCCUAAAUCGGGCAUCAAAGUUGUGAGAAAGCACUUCUUCCAAGCGGGAGCGCGUACCCAGCAGCCUGCGGUGAUGCCCACUGUCCCCGCGUGCCGUCCCAACCCACCUCCCGUGUCACCGCAACACUUUACACCGCCGCCGCUUUCCUAGACCGGAGCUAUUGAAUUUUCCUUUUAGUCCCUGCCCUUACGGAAGCGGCUGCAGCAACAGAUCAUCUGGGUUUAAUAAGUGUUCACAACACCCCUGCUGCUCCGGAGAAGCGCCGGGGUAGGAGUCGGCUGUGCCCGUGCUUCUGGAUCCCGGCAGAGGACACGGCGACGGGAGAGCGUGGCCUGCGACGUGCUGCGGGUCCGGGGAGGGUGGGGUGACGGGGAGAGCCAUCAGGUGGGGGCUGCAAAGCACACGUAUGUCCGCGCACACCUACAAGAAAAACGAGGAGCAAGCGCGAGAUCGAAAGCAGAGCCUCUUUUCUGCAGCCACGUGUGCCAUUAAAAACAAAUCAUUCAAAGUAGUUUUGAACUAUAAAAGCAUAAGAUCUUUCCCCUUCUGUUACUUUAUUUUAUGUUAUUUUGGAAGGGGGUACAGAUCCCGUCUCCCCCUCUCGGGUGACCUCGAAGGACCAGUUUAUUCACUUUUCCCAUGUGUGAGCAUUUGCGCUUUCCGGAAAUCAAUCUGAAGUUUGUUCAACAUUCUAAGCUAAAAUAAAACGGCGCUGCAAAAACCUCCCACGCCCUAAAGACGGAGAAGAGCCCUUUUGUUAAAAAAAAAACGUUCCCAGCUCGUUCUGCUCCCCACGGAGGCCGUCUCUGGAGGGUUUUGCAGUGUCCCAUCCCUGUGGGUGCAGAGAAAUGAGCUUUUCCCCGACGUGCAGAAGGGACGAGGCUGCCGGGGGGACUGCCCGGAGCCCCGAAGGCAUCGAGGUGCUGGGAUCGGACUGCUGGCCCCAGAGAUUUGUCCUCUGGCAGCACUGAGAGCUGGAAAGCGAUGGGGGAGGAUGAGAGUUCUUUCCUCGUCCAGUAUCACCUUUUGGAGCAUCGCUGGGACGCAGCCCGCAGCUCCCUCUCCCUCCCUCCCCUACACGUCGGGUGUCACCUUUAGGUUGGCCUCGGUGACCAAGUUGUACGGGGAAAUUCUCCGCCAUCUCUAUAUUUCCCAGGGUCGGGCUGCGAUAUUUCGGUGCCUUUCGCAGCCCCCGGAUGGAUGCGCUGGGGCUUCGGGCAGAUACCUGGGUCACACAGAGAAGGAAAACUGUUCCCAGCCGUCUCCAAACCCCCUCAGUGGGGCACUAAAAAAAAUAAAUGAAGUUCUUCCCUCCUCCCCUAGAAAAUAGGCAGAUUUUUAAAUUGUUUUUGUACGUGUGUGUCUUUUCGGUGCCGAGAAGUUUGCGCUUUUAAUCUCACUCGGGAGGGAACAAGUGACAGGCAGUUAUUGCGACCGUGACACCCCGAGGGUCCCCUGCUCCGAGCAGCCACCCGCAGCCGCCCAGCUCGGAGCUUCUCCGUCCGGCAGGAGACGAGAGGGGUUAAACAAAAUGGGGAAACGGGAGAAGGAAAAUGAGGAACGGAGAUAGACGGGGAGCAGCACGGCUCUGGGUGCCGUCGCACCGCGAUCACUGCAGGGAGCGAGCCCUGCCCGGCUGGGGGAAUUGGCUGUGGCACGGCGGCAGCUCGGCUUUGGUGACAAACGUGGCGUACAGACAGGACGUGUCCGAUGCCUCCCCUCGCCGGUCAUUUAUCUCCUGCCGGGGGGCGUGCGUGGGGGGUUUAGAUCUCUCUUUAAUUGAAACCUAGUAAGGAAAAUAGUAAUGGAUACCAGGCUCCGAUUGAGAAUACGUGUCCGCGGCUGCAUGAUGAGUGUUAGUUCAGCAGACUUUAAGAAGCCAAUUCUUCUUCUCUGUCAUUUCUCUAUUGACAGUAGUCCCUAUUAGAUUUACCAUGUCCUUUUGCAACAGCUGGUUCCACCCCCCCCUUUCUCCCCCGGGCCGAGGUAUCAAUCGAUCGCCGGGUGGCUCCGUGGCAUCUCGAAGAAAAUGGGAGCGAAGAGUGGCAGCGCCGGUGCCAGAGGCUCCCGGUUUCCCUCCACGCUCUGCUGCAGCCGGCGCCCGCCGGUGCCUCGGAGGUGCCCGGGGGCGGGGGUCGGAGCAGACCCCGGAGGAGGUGGGCAAGGUUCCAGCGCCGGGGCUGGGUUGUUAAAGAACGCGGCCGAUGGUCAAAGCAGAUAAAAUCGGUUUCUCUCGCCGGGUGCCUUGUUCUACUGGGUCUGCAGGGAGCGGGCGGGGGUGGGGGGGAGAAUGCCGCAUCUGGAGAGCUGGAGGGCUCCUUCGGGAAGGCUCGUUCCUCCUCGGGAUUGUUGUUGUGUUGUGUGUGUGUGUUUAAAUAAUUGAAUAAACGUAUCCAGUCGUUCCCCCUUUCUCUCUCGCAUGCAGACACACAAAGACAACAUUGAAAAGAUAGAUCUGUUUGACUGUAGGAAACGACAAUUAGUUCUACUUCCUGAG
This is a long non-coding RNA of Gallus gallus (chicken), 2664 nucleotides long. NCBI's taxonomy places the organism in Eukaryota, Metazoa, Chordata, Aves, Galliformes, Phasianidae. The record is from Ensembl.